Molecule: ribosomal RNA, 497 nt
Filed under: uncultured bacterium
Lineage: Bacteria
Description: partial 16S ribosomal RNA
Rfam family: Bacterial small subunit ribosomal RNA
Source: RNAcentral
GAUGAACGCUGGCGGCGUGCCUAAUACAUGCAAGUCGAGCGAACAGAUGAGGAGCUUGCUCCUCUGACGUUAGCGGCGGACGGGUGAGUAACACGUGGAUAACCUACCUAUAAGACUGGGAUAACUACGGGAAACCGGAGCUAAUACCGGAUAAUAUAUUGAACCGCAUGGUUCAAUAGUGAAAGACGGUUUUGCUGUCACUUAUAGAUGUAUCCGCGCCGCAUUAGCUAGUUGGUAAGGUAACGGCUUACCAAGGCAACGAUGCGUAGCCGACCUGAGAGGGUGAUCGGCCACACUGGAACUGAGACACGGUCCAGACUCCUACGGGAGGCAGCAGUAGGGAAUCUUCCGCAAUGGGCGAAAGCCUGACGGAGCAACGCCGCGUGAGUGAUGAAGGUCUUCGGAUCGUAAAACUCUGUUAUUAGGGAAGAACAAAUGUGUAAGUAACUAUGCACGUCUUGACGGUACCUAAUCAGAAAGCCACGGCUAACUACGUG